GCGCCUCCGGACAACCGGGCACGCGGUGCGCAGCCCGCAGUUACAAAGACAAACCAGGAACAGGCCCCGUUUGGGGGAACCCUCCAAACCAUCAAACUCGACGGUAAGUCCUGCCGUGAGAGCCCCGAGACUCCGGAGACCGGAAGGCACCCCAGCUCCCGAGCGCCGGGUCCCGGCCUGGGCCUGGGUUCGGAAGGAAGCGGCGGCUCCUCCCGCCGGGGACGAGGCCCUGGGAGAGGCCGAGCCGCGCUGGCAGUGCGGGCGGGGAGCGGAGACGGCGCCGGGCCGGCCGGGCCCCGAGGCGCUGGGCAGCACCCGCGCUGCCUGCUGCUCGCUGCUCGCAGCGCCCCCGCCCGGCCCCGAGCGGCCACCGCACCGCUGGGGCGACCGCAGCCCGCGCAGGUGCCAACUCGCGCAGGGAGGCGCCUCGGCCGCAGAAGGGCCCCCCGCGGCGCCCGCGUCCGGACACGGGCCUUCCGCCCUCCGAGCUUCCCACUUCCAGUAAGAUUCGCUGGCGGCGUGGAGGUCAGGCCACGGGGCCUCACGUCCGCAUUGGCGGGAGCCACUUGCGGUGCACACAGAGCAGCGUGUGCCGCCGGCAGAGGGCGAUCCCACAGAAGGCCUGAAAGCGGCGUCCCGGGGGCGCGGAGCCUCUGCCGGGAGGGGUCCUCCUCCGCGCGGUGCCGGUGCCGGUGCCGGUGCCGGUGCCGGUGCCGGUGCCGGGCAGAGCAGCGCAGGCGCAGACGGGCGAGGCGCUCCGAGGCACCUGUCCACGCGGGGAAGCGUCUCUGGCAGAGGCUACCUGGGGCGCGAGUCUUUCCUCGCACUACAGGGGCCUCAGCUAGAAGAUGGUCGGGGGGCCCGGGGCGCAGCGGUUUAGCGCCGCCUUCGGCCCACGGCCUGAUCCUGGAGACCCGGGAUCGAGUCCCGCGUCGGGCUCCCUGCGUGGAGCCUGCUUCUCCCUCUGCCUGUGUCUCUGCCUCGCUCUCCGUGUCUCUCAUGAAUAAAUGA
Molecule: long non-coding RNA, 1011 nt
Filed under: Canis lupus familiaris (dog)
Lineage: Eukaryota; Metazoa; Chordata; Mammalia; Carnivora; Canidae
Description: lncRNA (ENSCAFG00030016024.1)
Source: RNAcentral